This is a long non-coding RNA of Papio anubis (olive baboon), 1871 nucleotides long. The record is from Ensembl. NCBI's taxonomy places the organism in Eukaryota, Metazoa, Chordata, Mammalia, Primates, Cercopithecidae.
CUGACUGAGGACUCACAAUCCAGAACCUGAAGAUUGGAUCUUCUGAGAACAUAUGAGAAAGACUGCCCUUGCCAUCCACACUGCAGCAAGACUUUAAGACCUUGAACCUUGGGUUCAUAAUCUUACAAUCCCUGAGAAGGCUCUCUCCACACUCUUGAAACUUCAAAAUUUCCUUAAGGAUUUGGUACCUGGUUGGCAUUCAGCAUAUGUUUAAUAGAAACAAUAGAUGAGUGAAGGAAUGCAGAAAAGAGGAAGAGGAUCUGGCCAAAACAGGAUCUGAACAUGUUGAAUUUGAGAUGCUGUGAUACAUCCAUGAGAUGCCAUUAUGUCCGGAAUUGGUGGGUUCUUGGUCUUGCUGACUUCAAGAAUGAAGCUGGGACGUUGUGCUCCUCUGAGAGACCUGGUCUGGAGAUCACUUGAACCUUAAGCCCCUGAGCUUCCCAGAGAUCACUUAGAACCUGUGGGCUGUGUGUUCUCCUAAGGCCUGGCAGCAGAGCUGGGGAAGCUGGUAGUGGGAGAAGGUGAAGAGAGCAGACUCACUCCUGGCAGUAGGAGAGGGGCGAUGGAGAGAUGAGCACCAGUUGCUUCAUGGCGCAAGUUGUCCAGGCAGAAAACUGCCUGAAAUCUUCAGUUCUCAGCUUACUGCUGGUAAGUACCGAAUAAAACAGAUGCUUGAUUUGCUCAAAAAUAGAAAGGGUGAAUAGGUGGCUAGCUAUUCUAGAGUAAGAAAAGCAACGAAGCUGGGUGGUUUUUGUCUUUCUCAAAUUUUUUCUUUAUUCUCUAAUAUACCGAUCUGCCAUAGACAUUGUUGUUAGACUACCUACUAUUGUGCUGGAAAAGGAAAGGGAGUUUUGUGGUAUGCAAAAUUUGGGAUAUAUUAAAUAUUAAAUAAAUAGAUGAGGACAGAUGUUAUCAAGUGAUAACGUUUUCUCCCAAAACAUAGUUCUCACUUUCGUUCAUACCUCACGUUCCUCCAAAUUUUAACUUCUCAUUUUUGUUCUUAUUUGUAAAGAGGUAUCUCUUGGCCGGGCGCGGUGGCUCAAGCCUGUAAUCCCAGCACUUUGAGAGGCCGAGACGGGCGGAUCACGAGGUCAGGAGAUCGAGACCAUCCCAACAUGGGCUAACAUGGUGAAACCCCGCCUCCACUAAAAAAUACAAAAAACUAGCCGGGCGAGGUGGCGGGCGUCUGUAGUCCCAGCUACUCGGGAGGCUGAGGCAGGAGAAUGGCGUGAACCUGGGAGGCGGAGCUUGCAGUGAGCUGAGAUCCGGCCACUGCACUCCAGCCUGGGCGACAGAGCGAGACUCCGCCUCAAAAAAAAAAAAAAAAAAAGGUAUCUCUUUUGUGGGAUUAACUUGUUAUCUGUAGAAAAGGACAUAGACAUUGGGGAUUUGAUGCUUAUCUUCACUAAAGAAAGAAUAUUAUAUACUUUUAUAGAGUUUAAAUAGAGAAAAUGUUAUAUACAUAUAGUAAGCACCAAAAGAAAUGUAAACUUUCUUCAUUUACUCUUCAAAGUGUACUCAUAUGAGGAAUCUGUAGCAUUAAAUAAUAAGAGAACAGGCAAGGCACAUACAGGGCUUAGGAAAAAUGUUGUUGUUGUUGUUGUUGUUGUCAUUGGAAAACCUACAUUAGGUUAAUCCCAACCAACACCUGAACCUGCUCAGCAUCUCCAACUCUGCAUCCUGGUGCCCCUGCUGCACAUAACAUCCCUUUCUCAUUGCCCACACACAUUUUAACCUCUCAAAGCCUCUUAAUUAGAAAACAUCUUCCAUUCUAUUCCAGAAAGAUAAUCUCUACUUGAGAAAAUGUGAUACCCAGACAAGAAAUAUUUCUUCUUUCCUUUUAUUGAUCUGAUAAGUCCUCCAGAGGUAAG